GCGUGGUCUGCGGGGGGCGGGGCCUAAAAGAAAAAGCAUGGCUGAAAGGAGGGUUGGACCGGACGAGAUGGAGACUAGAGAACCCUAGUAACUAGGGAUGCGGGGUGGUGCCUGAAAGAGGGGUGAGGGCUGGACUAAGGAAAACAGUGUGCACGGGGUUGAGGGAGAAUCCCAGAGAGGACCCUACCUUUAACCUUUCCCUAUAUCCCUAGGGCUGCGCGCGGAGCCUCCAGAAGUGGUUGCACAACAACCUCAUCUCCAUAGUAGGCAUUUGUCUGGGCGUCGGUCUACUUGAGGUAAUUUGGUCCCGCCCCUAUUUGCGAUUAGCCCUACAAUCCCUAGAUGGCUCCGCCCCCAAAUUGCGCGCCUUCCCAUUCUCCGGGAAAGGUGCAGGCGUGAUAGAGCUUCAGCCAAUCCAGGCUCUUCUGCCUCACCGCACAAGACCUAUCUUCUGUGAGCCCUGAUUGGUUGUGCGCAGGGAGUAGGCGUUCCCGCCUCCCUGGGCGUUCUAGCGCUCUGCUCUUAGCUGCAAUAUUCCUCCCUUUUCCCUGCAGGUGAGUGUGGCGGGGCUGAGCCUGCUACUACUGCGUAGGGCGCUCUGCCGGGAGCGCCAGCUGCAGGUGCCGGACGCCUAUGGUUCGAGCCCCGGGCUUGGUCCCAGGGCUGAUGGCGGAGGCGGCGGGCGCUGUGGUGUGCUGAGCAGCAGCGGGCGUAGCGGCGGUCUCUGGGGUGGCUGGGGCAUGGNGGCGGACGCCUGUCCCAACUGGGGGGGCAAGUCCCCACAGGUCAAGCUGCCCAUGGCCCUGGGGCCCUGGCCGCUUUGGGAUCAAGACGAGGAACAACCUGAGAACGGGAGCGUGGAGGUGGAGGUCGAGGUGGAACUAGCGGCCGAGGGAGAGGGGGAGACAGAUGAGCCUCCGGAAUAAAGUACCCUGGGCUAUCUCCGGAUCGCACUCCUUCCCAGACUCCAAACCUGCGCUAGACGCAGCUGGGCACCUCUACCCCACCCUAUUCUUCUUCCCAUCCUCCCUCUCUCUCCCUCGCGUCUUUAGUAACUAACCCCAAGCCUCCAAAUUCCCAUCCCUGAUCCCAUCUUUCACAACCUGGCCCAGCUCUCCCUCUAGCCCCACCCACCUUCUACUCCCUUCUCCGCCCCCCAUGACCGCGCCCCCAACCCAAAUCUCCUUGCUUUAUUUUUAUCCCCUGGCCCCACCCCUUUUUCUCCCUCGGGACCCCCAUCCUCCCUACCCCCAUCACCCUCGCCAACAUCCCCUGGACCUCUCUGACCAGGUCUCCUUUCUCUAUAGCUCAGCUUCAUGACGCUCUCCAUAUUCCUGUGCAGAAACCUGGACCAAGUCUACGACCGGCUUGCUCGGUACCUCUAGGCCCCGCCCUUCCCAAAGCCCCGCCCUGACCCCUUCAAGUGCCCCAGAGGCUUCCCUGUGGUGUGUAAAUAUUUGUUCAACCCCUUUCGCCCCAGCCAUUGAGUCCUCAACCUCCUCAUUUCCCCGGGGACCCAGAUGUCUGCCUGCCCAUCUGCUGUCACCUCUCCCGCGGGACCUGAGGCUUCUGGUCACCAGCUUCCUGCCCCCAAAGAUACCUCAUUUCCUUGCCUCAUGUGUUGGCCUACCGCACCUCCCACAGGAUUAUUUUUCGCCCAAACCCCAAAUAAAUCCCCUGCGUUUUGGUAAAAUAGUUUUAUCCUCUGUCAAAACAUGAACCAACACACUUUGCGGGUGAGGGGAGGCAACACAGCAUAGCCCACGUCUUAUUUAGAAGAGAGGAUGAGAUUAAAAGACUCACCCCACUGCUUGCCCAGCUGAGAAAAAGUCACAACCCUAAUACCCACUUAUAAAUAUCUCUUGUUAUAUUAAAAAAAAUAUUUCCAGGGCCCACCUGGCUCUGCUCCGGCACAGAAAGGGUUAACCUUCAAUAUUCGAUCUUGAUCUUAAGGUCACAGGGUGAGGGUGGUAAGGAGAGGCAGGUUGGGAAGAAAGGGAGAUGGGGGUGUGCUGAAAGACACAGGGACAAACCAUAUCAAAGCCCCCCCCCCCUUCAAAACAUCCAGAACCAAGUUGGGGGAGGGCACCUGUUAAGAGACUGAGAAACCAGUGCUAUACCUCAGGGUUGUCUCACUCCUGUCCCCAGUUCCCAUGCUCUGGAGUGACCUGUCCUUUCAGACACCACUGUGAAGUCCCAAUAUCAGGAUCCAACCUUCCAGCUUGCCACCCAGCUUUGUAAGGUCCCCUCUAACAGGGAUCAGCACCCCCUCCCCAAAUAAGCAUGAAGAAAGCUGGGGGUCCUUCCUGGAAGGAGGGUAUUCCGGGCAUGAGCCACUUUUGGGGUCCCCUUUCAGUCCCUGACCAGACGGUAAAUGUGGUGCUGGGCCCCCCGCUCGCUGGUGGAGACCUCAAAGACGUAGGCAGUGCAGAGCAGCAGCUCCUGGGUGUCUCGGUUUGUUACCACCUGCCAAGGAGGCCAAGAGAAAGGGUUUAUGCAAAAAACAAAAACAGAACAAAGAGGGAGACUGGGGACCACUGUGCCCUCCCCAAGGUGCCAUGGAAUACCCAGGGAAGAGGUCCCCACCUUAUCACAUUCCCUGACAUGUCAGUUUCUUCAUUCGAGUGUUGGCAGUGAGGAGACUCACAUGAGGUGGCAUAUCAGAGGUAAAGGAGUCCCACCGGAUCAUGUUCCCUGAGCUAAGGUUAGGUUCCCUAUGGAGGAGGUCCCUUAAACUGAG
This 2740-nucleotide long non-coding RNA is filed under the name Lynx pardinus (Iberian lynx). Lineage: Eukaryota; Metazoa; Chordata; Mammalia; Carnivora; Felidae. The record is from RNAcentral.